Molecule: non-coding RNA, 230 nt
Organism: Pelobates cultripes (western spadefoot toad)
Lineage: Eukaryota; Metazoa; Chordata; Amphibia; Anura; Pelobatidae
Source: the annotation of a GenBank genome assembly
GUCUGUUAGUGAGUGAGUGUGCGUAUCUGUUAGUGAGUGUGUGUGUUAGUGUGUGUGUCUGUUAGUGAGUGUGUCUAUUAGUGUGUGUGUCAGUGAGUGUGUGUUAGUGAGUGUUUGUUAGUGAGUGUGUCUGUCUGUUAGUGAGUGUGUGUGUGUGUCUGUGUCUGUGUCUGACUGUUAGUGUGAGUAUGUUUGCCUGUGAGUGUGUGUCUGCUAGUGAGUGUGUGUGU